Molecule: ribosomal RNA, 197 nt
Filed under: uncultured bacterium
Lineage: Bacteria
Description: partial 16S ribosomal RNA
Rfam family: Bacterial small subunit ribosomal RNA
Source: RNAcentral
ACGCUCGACACCUACGGGAGGCAGCAGUGGGGAAUAUUGCACAAUGGGGGAAACCCUGAUGCAGCGACGCCGCGUGAGUGAAGAAGUAUUUCGGUAUGUAAAGCUCUAUCAGCAGGGAAGAAGAUGACGGUACCUGAGUAAGAAGCCCCGGCUAACUACGUACCAGCAGCCGCGGUAAUCUGAGCGGCUGGCAAGGC